UUAAACUCUUCAAGCAUAAAAACAGUACGUCAUACACUGUAUGCCAAUCCCGGUAAAUAAGCAAGUCUCGAAUUUCUAUGUCAAUUUGAUUUAAAAUCUAUAUUAAAAGGUAAAUAGUUCAAUAGAAGGGAACAAAAACCAUUUAUCAUGAAGCAGAUAAUCAUAAGGUACCAGUAUUCGCAUCUUCAUUGCAGCAACAUAGAAACAAAAAUGGCUGGAAAACGCCACCAGUGAAUUACUGGUAAUGAUAAAUGGGACACAAUAAGGCUCUCAACAAAUGCCAAUCAAUCAAAAAUCAUAGAACUCCUCCACAUAUGGAAAGUUUAUGGUGCAAGUUCUUGAAUGCCUCAAAAUCCAAUAGGAGAGGACAAAUGACAAUGGAAUAGAAAACCAUUGUAAAA
This is a long non-coding RNA of Tripterygium wilfordii, 401 nucleotides long. RefSeq lists it as uncharacterized. The transcript is spliced from 2 exons. Lineage: Eukaryota; Viridiplantae; Streptophyta; Magnoliopsida; Celastrales; Celastraceae. The record is from RefSeq and is a predicted model, not a curated record.